UACGAAGGGGGCUAGCGUUGCUCGGAAUCACUGGGCGUAAAGCGCACGUAGGCGGCUUUCUAAGUCAGGGGUGAAAUCCUGGAGCUCAACUCCAGAACUGCCUUUGAUACUGGAGAGCUUGAGUCCGGGAGAGGUGAGUGGAACUCCGAGUGUAGAGGUGAAAUUCGUAGAUAUUGGGAAGAACACCGGUGGCGAAGGCGGCGCUCUGGACCGAGACUGACGCUGAGGCGCGAAAGCCAGGGGAGCAAACGGG
RNAcentral lists this ribosomal RNA (253 nucleotides) under uncultured bacterium. Its description in RNAcentral is "partial 16S ribosomal RNA". It matches the Rfam family "Bacterial small subunit ribosomal RNA", at positions 524 to 776 of the family's 1533-position model. The record is from RNAcentral.